RNAcentral lists this unclassified non-coding RNA (174 nucleotides) under uncultured fungus. RNAcentral describes it as "sequence contains ITS1". Lineage: Eukaryota; Fungi. The record is from RNAcentral.
UUAUUUGGAUAGGGUUUAGCACUAAUUCGUCCUCUGUUGUAUUUGGUGGUAAACCUCUUCCAAAUAUAUUGUUUUUGUUACUCUUUUUUUUAAAAAAAGGAGCAAGAUGAUAUAUAUUUAAAACCCAACUCUUAUAUAUAAAAUAUGUAUAUUUUUGAAUAAUAAAAUUAAAGA